RNAcentral lists this ribosomal RNA (424 nucleotides) under uncultured bacterium. RNAcentral's name for it is "partial 16S ribosomal RNA". It matches the Rfam family "Bacterial small subunit ribosomal RNA", at positions 354 to 795 of the family's 1533-position model. The record is from RNAcentral.
GUGGGGAAUCUUGCGCAAUGGGCGAAAGCCUGACGCAGCCAUGCCGCGUGGAUGAUGAAGGUCUUAGGAUUGUAAAAUCCUUUCACCGGUGAAGAUAAUGACUGUAGCCGGAGAAGAAGCCCCGGCUAACUUCGUGCCAGCAGCCGCGGUAAUACGAAGGGGGCUUGCGUUGCUCGGAUUUACUGGGCGUAAAGGGCGCGUAGGCGGACAUUUAAGUCAGGGGUGAAAUCCCGGGGCUCAACCUCGGAACUGCCUUUGAUACUGGGUGUCUUGAGUAUGAGAGAGGUGUGUGGAACUCCGAGUGUAGAGGUGAAAUUCGUAGAUAUUCGGAAGAACACCAGUGGCGAAGGCGACACACUGGCUCAUUACUGACGCUGAGGCGCGAAAGCGUGGGGAGCAAACAGGAUUAGAUACCCCUGUAGUC